Protopterus annectens (West African lungfish) is the source of this 5625-nucleotide RNA transcript. RefSeq lists it as uncharacterized. The record is from RefSeq and is a predicted model, not a curated record. The transcript is spliced from 3 exons. NCBI's taxonomy places the organism in Eukaryota, Metazoa, Chordata, Ceratodontiformes, Protopteridae.
AGAGUACCUGUAAAACAAAUGUAAGGAGACAGUUAACAGAACCAAGGACAGGUACAAAAAGUGUCAGGAAAGAGCAGAGUACCUGUAAAACAAAUGUAAGGAGACAGUUAACAGAACCAAGGACAUGGAAAAAACGUGUGAGGAAAGAGGAGAGUACCUGUAAAACAAAUGUAAGGAGACAGUUAACAGAACCAAGGACAGGUACAAAAAGUGUGAGGAAAGAGCAGAGUACCUGUAAAACAAAUGUAAGGAGACAGUUAACAGAACCAAGGACAGGUACAAAAAGUGUGAGGAAAGAGCAAAGUACCUGUAAAACAAAUGUAAGGAGACAGUUAACAGAACCAAGGACAGGUACAAAAAGUGUGAGGAAAGAGCAAAGUACCUGUAAAACAAAUGUAAGGAGACAGUUAACAGAACCAAGGACAGGUACAAAAAGUGUGAGGAAAGAGCAAAGUGACUGUAAAACAAAUGUAAGGAGACAGUUAACAGAACCAAGGACAGGUACAAAAAGUGUCAGGAAAGAGCAGAGUACCUGUAAAACAAAUGUAAGGAGACAGUUAACAGAACCAAGGACAGGUACAAGAAGUGUGAGGAAAGAGCAAAGUACCUGUAAAACAAAUGUAAGGAGACAGUUAAUAGAACCAAGGACAGGUACAAAAAGUGUCAGUAAAGAGCAGAGUACCUAUAAAACAAAUGUAAGGAGACAGUUAACAGAACCAAGGACGGGUACAAAAAGUGUGAGGAAAGAGCAAAGUACCUGUAAAACAAAUGUAAGGAGACAGUUAACAGAACCAAGGACAGGUAAAAAAGUGUCAGGAAAGAGCAAAGUACCUGUAAAACAAAUGUAAGGAGACAGUUAACAGAACCAAGGACAGGUACAAAAAGUGUGAGGAAAGAGCAAAGUACCUGUAAAACAAAUGUAAGGAGACAGUUAACAGAACCAAGGACAGGUACAAAAAGUGUCAGGAAAGAGCAAAGUACCUGUAAAACAAAUGUAAGGAGACAGUUAACAGAACCAAGGACAGGUACAAAAGUGUGAGGAAAGAGCAAAGUACCUGUAAAACAAAUGUAAGGAGACAGUUAACAGAACCAAGGACAGGUACAAAAAGUGUCAGGAAAGAGCAAAGUACCUGUAAAACAAAUGUAAGGAGACAGUUAACAGAACCAAGGACAGGUAAAAAAGUGUCAGGAAAGAGCAAAGUACCUGUAAAACAAAUGUAAGGAGACAGUUAACAGAACCAAGGACAGGUACAAAAAGUGUCAGGAAAGAGCAAAGUACCUGUAAAACAAAUGUAAGGAGACAGUUAACAGAACCAAGGACAGGUACAAAAAGUGUGAGGAAAGAGCAAAGUACCUGUAAAACAAAUGUAAGGAGACAGUUAACAGAACCAAGGACAGGUACAAAAAGUGUGAGGAAAGAGCAAAGUACCUGUAAAACAAAUGUAAGGAGACAGUUAACAGAACCAAGGACAGGUACAAAAAGUGUCAGGAAAGAGCAGAGUACCUGUAAAACAAAUGUAAGGAGACAGUUAACAGAACUAAGGACAGGUAAAAAAGUGUCAGGAAAGAGCAAAGUACCUGUUAAACAAAUGUAAGGAGACAGUUAACAGAACCAAGGACAGGUACAAAAAGUGUGAGGAAAGAGCAAAGUACCUGUAAAACAAAUGUAAGGAGACAGUUAACAGAACCAAGGACAGGUACAAAAAGUGUGAGGAAAGAGCAAAGUACCUGUAAAACAAAUGUAAGGAGACAGUUAACAGAACCAAGGACAGGUACAAAAGUGUGAGGAAAGAGCAGAGUACCUGUAAAACAAAUGUAAGGAGACAGUUAACAGAACUAAGGACAGGUAAAAAAGUGUCAGGAAAGAGCAAAGUACCUGUUAAACAAAUGUAAGGAGACAGUUAACAGAACCAAGGACAGGUACAAAAAGUGUCAGGAAAGAGCAAAGUACCUGUAAAACAAAUGUAAGGAGACAGUUAACAGAACCAAGGACAGGUACAAGAAGUGUGAGGAAAGAGCAAAGUACCUGUAAAACAAAUGUAAGGAGACAGUUAACAGAACCAAGGACAGGUACAAAAAGUGUCAGGAAAGAGCAGAGUACCUGUAAAACAAAUGUAAGGAGACAGUUAACAGAACCAAGGACAGGUACAAAAAGUGUGAGGAAAGAGCAAAGUACCUGUAAAACAAAUGUAAGGAGACAGUUAACAGAACCAAGGACAGGUACAAAAAGUGUGAGGAAAGAGCAAAGUACCUGUAAAACAAAUGUAAGGAGACAGUUAACAGAACCAAGGACAGGUACAAAAAGUGUCAGGAAAGAGCAAAGUACCUGUAAAACAAAUGUAAGGAGACAGUUAACAGAACCAAGGACAGGUACAAAAAGUGUCAGGAAAGAGCAGAGUACCUGUAAAACAAAUGUAAGGAGACAGUUAACAGAACCAAGGACAGGUACAAAAAGUGUCAGGAAAGAGCAAAGUACCUGUAAAACAAAUGUAAGGAGACAGUUAACAGAACCAAGGACAGGUACAAAAAGUGUCAGGAAAGAGCAAAGUACCUGUAAAACAAAUGUAAGGAGACAGUUAACAGAACCAAGGACAGGUACAAAAUGUGUGAGGAAAGAGCAAAGUACCUGUAAAACAAAUGUAAGGAGACAGUUAACAGAACCAAGGACAGGUACAAAAAGUGUCAGGAAAGAGCAAAGUACCUGUAAAACAAAUGUAAGGAGACAGUUAACAGAACCAAGGACAGGUACAAAAGUGUGAGGAAAGAGCAAAGUACCUGUAAAACAAAUGUAAGGAGACAGUUAACAGAACCAAGGACAGGUACAAAAAGUGUGAGGAAAGAGCAAAGUACCUGUAAAACAAAUGUAAGGAGACAGUUAACAGAACCAAGGACAGGUACAAAAGUGUGAGGAAAGAGCAAAGUACCUGUAAAACAAAUGUAAGGAGACAGUUAACAGAACCAAGGACAGGUACAAAAAGUGUGAGGAAAGAGCAAAGUACCUGUAAAACAAAUGUAAGGAGACAGUUAACAGAACCAAGGACAGGUACAAAAAGUGUGAGGAAAGAGCAAAGUACCUGUAAAACAAAUGUAAGGAGACAGUUAACAGAACCAAGGACAGGUACAAAAAGUGUGAGGAAAGAGCAAAGUACCUGUAAAACAAAUGUAAGGAGACAGUUAACAGAACCAAGGACAGGUACAAAAAGUGUCAGGAAAGAGCAAAGUACCUGUAAAACAAAUGUAAGGAGACAGUUAACAGAACCAAGGACAGGUACAAAAAGUGUCAGGAAAGAGCAGAGUACCUGUAAAACAAAUGUAAGGAGACAGUUAACAGAACCAAGGACAGGUACAAAAGUGUGAGGAAAGAGCAAAGUACCUGUAAAACAAAUGUAAGGAGACAGUUAACAGAACCAAGGACAGGUACAAAAAGUGUCAGGAAAGAGCAGAGUACCUGUAAAACAAAUGUAAGGAGACAGUUAACAGAACCAAGGACAGGUAAAAAAGUGUGAGGAAAGAGCAAAGUACCUGUAAAACAAAUGUAAGGAGACAGUUAACAGAACCAAGGACAGGUACAAAAAGUGUCAGGAAAGAGCAAAGUACCUGUAAAACAAAUGUAAGGAGACAGUUAACAGAACCAAGGACAGGUACAAAAAGUGUCAGGAAAGAGCAAAGUACCUGUAAAACAAAUGUAAGGAGACAGUUAACAGAACCAAGGACAGGUACAAAAAGUGUCAGGAAAGAGCAAAGUACCUGUAAAACAAAUGUAAGGAGACAGUUAACAGAACUAAGGACAGGUAAAAAAGUGUCAGGAAAGAGCAAAGUACCUGUAAAACAAAUGUAAGGAGACAGUUAACAGAACCAAGGACAGGUACAAAAAGUGUCAGGAAAGAGCAGAGUACCUGUAAAACAAAUGUAAGGAGACAGUUAACAGAACCAAGGACAGGUACAAAAAGUGUCAGGAAAGAGCAAAGUACCUGUAAAACAAAUGUAAGGAGACAGUUAACAGAACCAAGGACAGGUACAAAAAGUGUCAGGAAAGAGCAGAGUACCUGUAAAACAAAUGUAAGGAGACAGUUAACAGAACCAAGGACAGGUACAAAAAGUGUGAGGAAAGAGCAAAGUACCUGUAAAACAAAUGUAAGGAGACAGUUAACAGAACCAAGGACAGGUACAAAAAGUGUGAGGAAAGAGCAAAGUACCUGUAAAACAAAUGUAAGGAGACAGUUAACAGAACCAAGGACAGGUACAAAAGUGUCAGGAAAGAGCAGAGUACCUGUAAAACAAAUGUAAGGAGACAGUUAACAGAACCAAGGACAGGUACAAGAAGUGUGAGGAAAGAGCAAAGUACCUGUAAAACAAAUGUAAGGAGACAGUUAACAGAACCAAGGACAGGUACAAAAAGUGUCAGGAAAGAGCAAAGUACCUGUAAAACAAAUGUAAGGAGACAGUUAACAGAACCAAGGACAGGUAAAAAAGUGUCAGGAAAGAGCAGAGUACCUGUAAAACAAAUGUAAGGAGACAGUUAACAGAACCAAGGACAGGUACAAAAAGUGUGAGGAAAGAGCAAAGUACCUGUAAAACAAAUGUAAGGAGACAGUUAACAGAACCAAGGACAGGUACAAAAAGUGUCAGGAAAGAGCAAAGUACCUGUAAAACAAAUGUAAGGAGACAGUUAACAGAACCAAGGACAGGUAAAAAAGUGUCAGGAAAGAGCAAAGUACCUGUAAAACAAAUGUAAGGAGACAGUUAACAGAACCAAGGACAGGUACAAAAAGUGUGAUGAAAGAGCAAAGUACCUGUAAAACAAAUGUAAGGAGACAGUUAACAGAACCAAGGACAGGUACAAAAAGUGUGAGGAAAGAGCAAAGUACCUGUAAAACAAAUGUAAGGAGACAGUUAACAGAUCCAAGGACAGGUACAAAAAGUGUGAUGAAAGAGCAAAGUACCUGUAAAACAAAUGUAAGGAGACAGUUAACAGAACCAUGGACAGGUACAAAAAGUGUGAGGAAAGAGCAAAGUACCUGUAAAACAAAUGUAAGGAGACAGUUAACAGAACCAAGGACAGGUACAAAAAGUGUGAGGAAAGAGCAAAGUACCUGUAAAACAAAUGUAAGGAGACAGUUAACAGAACCAAGGACAGGUACAAAAAGUGUCAGGAAAGAGCAAAGUACCUGUAAAACAAAUGUAAGGAGACAGUUAACAGAACCGAGGACAGGUACAAAAAGUGUGAGGAAAGAGCAAAGUACCUGUAAAACAAAUGUAAGGAGACAGUUAACAGAACCAAGGACAGGUACAAAAAGUGUCUGGAAAGAGCAAAGUACCUGUAAAACAAAUGUAAGGAGACAGUUAACAGAACCAAGGACAGGUACAAAAAGUGUGAGGAAAGAGCAAAGUACCUGUAAAACAAAUGUAAGGAGACAGUUAACAGAACCAUGGACAGGUACAAAAAGUGUGAGGAAAGAGCAAAGUACCUGUAAAACAAAUGUAAGGAGACAGUUAACAGAACCAAGGACAGGUACAAAAAGUGUGAGGAAAGAGCAAAGUACCUGUAAAACAAAUGUAAGGAGACAGUUAACAGAACCAAGGACAGGUACAAAAAGUGUGAGGAAAGAGCAAAGUACCUGUAAA